CCUACGGGAGGCUGCAGUGGGGAAUAUUGGACAAUGGGGGGAACCCUGAUCCAGCCAUGCCGCGUGUGUGAAGAAGGCCCUCGGGUUGUAAAGCACUUUCAGUGAGGAAGAACGCCUGGUGGUUAAUACCCAUCAGGAAAGACAUCACUCACAGAAGAAGCACCGGCUAACUCCGUGCCAGCAGCCGCGGUAAUACGGAGGGUGCGAGCGUUAAUCGGAAUUACUGGGUGUAAAGCGCGCGUAGGUGGCUUGAUAAGCCGGUUGUGAAAGCCCCGGGCUCAACCUGGGAACGGCAUCCGGAACUGUCAAGCUAGAGUGCAGGAGAGGAAGGUAGAAUUCCCGGUGUAGCGGUGAAAUGCGUAGAGAUCGGGAGGAAUACCAGUGGCGAAGGCGGCCUUCUGGACUGACACUGACACUGAGGUGCGAAAGCGUGGGUAGCAAACAGGAUUAGAUACCCCGGUAGUC
RNAcentral lists this ribosomal RNA (465 nucleotides) under Vreelandella stevensii. Its description in RNAcentral is "partial 16S ribosomal RNA". It matches the Rfam family "Bacterial small subunit ribosomal RNA", at positions 338 to 795 of the family's 1533-position model. The record is from RNAcentral. Lineage: Bacteria; Pseudomonadati; Pseudomonadota; Gammaproteobacteria; Oceanospirillales; Halomonadaceae.